CUACGUGCCAGCAGCCGCGGUAAUACGGAAGGUUCGGGCGUUAUCCGGAUUUAUUGGGUUUAAAGGGAGCGUAGGCCGGAGAUUAAGUGUGUUGUGAAAUGUAGACGCUCAACGUCUGACUUGCAGCGCAUACUGGUUUCCUUGAGUACGCACAACGUUGGCGGAAUUCGUCGUGUAGCGGUGAAAUGCUUAGAUAUGACGAAGAACUCCGAUUGCGAAGGCAGCUGACGGGAGCGCAACUGACGCUGAAGCUCGAAGGUGCGGGUAUCGAACAGGAUUAGAUACCCUGGUAGUCCGCACAGUAAACGAUGGAUGCCCGCUGUUGGUACCUGGUAUCAGCGGCUAAGCGAAAGCAUUAAGCAUCCCACCUGGGGAGUACGCCGGCAACGGUGAAACUCAAAGGAAUUGACGGGGGCCCGCACAAGCGGAGGAACAUGUGGUUUAAUUCGAUGAUACGCGAGGAACCUUACCCGGGCUUGAA
RNAcentral lists this ribosomal RNA (481 nucleotides) under uncultured bacterium. RNAcentral describes it as "bacterial SSU rRNA". It matches the Rfam family "Bacterial small subunit ribosomal RNA", at positions 501 to 985 of the family's 1533-position model. The record is from RNAcentral.